UGGGGUAUAGCCAAGCGGUAAGGCAACGGGUUUUGAUCCCGUCAUUUCCUAGGUUCGAAUCCUAGUACCCCAGCCA
Molecule: transfer RNA, 76 nt
Filed under: Thioflexithrix psekupsensis
Lineage: Bacteria; Pseudomonadati; Pseudomonadota; Gammaproteobacteria; Thiotrichales
Description: Thioflexothrix psekupsii tRNA-Gln
Rfam family: tRNA
About the family: Transfer RNA (tRNA) molecules are approximately 80 nucleotides in length. Their secondary structure includes four short double-helical elements and three loops (D, anti-codon, and T loops).
Source: RNAcentral